AUGCGCCUAACCCUUAUCGUGA
This 22-nucleotide non-coding RNA is filed under the name Arabidopsis thaliana (thale cress). The record is from RNAcentral. Lineage: Eukaryota; Viridiplantae; Streptophyta; Magnoliopsida; Brassicales; Brassicaceae.